Molecule: ribosomal RNA, 625 nt
Filed under: uncultured bacterium
Lineage: Bacteria
Description: bacterial SSU rRNA
Rfam family: Bacterial small subunit ribosomal RNA
Source: RNAcentral
CUUGUUGGUGGGGUGAUGGCCUACCAAGGCGACGACGGGUAGCCGGCCUGAGAGGGUGACCGGCCACACUGGGACUGAGACACGGCCCAGACUCCUACGGGAGGCAGCAGUGGGGAAUAUUGCGCAAUGGGCGGAAGCCUGACGCAGCGACGCCGCGUGGGGGAUGAAGGCCUUCGGGUUGUAAACCUCUUUCAGCACCGACGAAACUAGACGGUAGGUGCAGAAGAAGCGCCGGCUAACUACGUGCCAGCAGCCGCGGUAAUACGUAGGGCGCAAGCGUUGUCCGGAAUUAUUGGGCGUAAAGAGCUCGUAGGCGGUUUGUCGCGUCGAGUGUGAAAGCCCGGGGCUUAACUCCGGGUCUGCAUUCGAUACGGGCAGACUAGAGGCAGGUAGGGGAGAACGGAAUUCCCGGUGUAGCGGUGAAAUGCGCAGAUAUCGGGAGGAACACCGGUGGCGAAGGCGGUUCUCUGGGCCUGUACUGACGCUGAGGAGCGAAAGCGUGGGGAGCGAACAGGAUUAGAUACCCUGGUAGUCCACGCCGUAAACGUUGGGCGCUAGGUGUGGGGUCCUUCCACGGAUUCCGCGCCGUAGCUAACGCAUUAAGCGCCCCGCCUGGGGAGUACAA